UACGAAGGGGGCUAGCGUUGCUCGGAAUCACUGGGCGUAAAGCGCACGUAGGCGGAUUGCUAAGUCAGGGGUGAAAUCCUGGAGCUCAACUCCAGAACUGCCUUUGAUACUGGCGAUCUUGAGUCUGGGAGAGGUGAGUGGAACUCCGAGUGUAGAGGUGAAAUUCGUAGAUAUUCGGAAGAACACCAGUGGCGAAGGCGGCUCACUGGCCCGGUACUGACGCUGAGGUGCGAAAGCGUGGGGAGCAAACAGG
This 253-nucleotide ribosomal RNA is filed under the name uncultured bacterium. RNAcentral describes it as "partial 16S ribosomal RNA". It matches the Rfam family "Bacterial small subunit ribosomal RNA", at positions 524 to 776 of the family's 1533-position model. The record is from RNAcentral.